AACGAACGCUGGCGGCAUGCCUAACACAUGCAAGUCGAACGAGACCUUCGGGUCUAGUGGCGAACGGGUGCGUAACGCGUGGGAACCUGCCCUUAGGUUCGGAUUCACUCCCCGAAAGGGGUGCUAAUACCGGCUAAUGUCUUCGGACCACAGAUUUAUCGCCUUUGGAUGGGCCCGCGUUGGAUUAGCUUGUUGGUAGGGUAAAAGCCUACCAAGGCGACGAUCCAUAGCUGGUCUGAGAGGAUGAUCAGCCACACUGGGACUGAGACACGGCCCAGACUCCUACGGGAGGCAGCAGUGGGGAAUAUUGGACAAUGGGCGAAAGCCUGAUCCAGCAAUGCCGCGUGAGUGAUGAAGGCCUUAGGGUUGUAAAGCUCUUUUACCCGGGAUGAUAAUGACAGUACCGGGAGAAUAAGCUCCGGCUAACUACGUG
RNAcentral lists this ribosomal RNA (433 nucleotides) under uncultured bacterium. Its description in RNAcentral is "partial 16S ribosomal RNA". It matches the Rfam family "Bacterial small subunit ribosomal RNA", at positions 29 to 507 of the family's 1533-position model. The record is from RNAcentral.